Acanthosepion pharaonis is the source of this 112-nucleotide non-coding RNA. The record is from the annotation of a GenBank genome assembly. Lineage: Eukaryota; Metazoa; Mollusca; Cephalopoda; Sepiida; Sepiidae.
GAUGUCCAUAUCACGUGGAAACACCGGUUCCCGUAUGAUCACCGAAGUUGAGCAACGUUGAGCUGGUCAGUACAAAGAUGGAUAGCCGCUCCGGAAUACCCGGUGUUGUAAG